AGAAAAUAGAUACCCAGGUAGUCCUAGCUGUAAACGAUGCAUACUAGAAGUGGGAGGGCUCAAACCCUUUCUGUUUCGGAGCUAAACGCGUUAAGUAUGCCGCCUGGGGAGUACGCUCGCAAGGGUGAAACUCAAAAGAAUUGACGGGGGCCCGCACAAGCAGUGGAGCAUGUGGUUUAAUUCGAUGCAACGCGAAGAACCUUACCUGGGCUCGAAAUGUAGAGGACGUUACAAGAGAUUGUAAUUCCCGAAAGGGUCUCUAUAUAGGUGCUGCAUGGCUGUCGUCAGCUCGUGCCGUGAGGUGUUUGGUUAAGUCCAGCAACGAGCGCAACCCUUAUCGUUAGUUGCCAGCGCGUAAUGGCGGGAACUCUAACGAGACUGCCUAGGUUAACUAGGAGGAAGGUGAGGAUGACGUCAAGUCCGCAUGGCCUUUAUGUCCAGGGCUACACACGUGCUACAAUGGUCGGUACAGAAGGCAGCGAAGCCGUGAGGUGGAGCAAAUCCUAUAAAACCGAUCUCAGUUCAGAUUGCA
RNAcentral lists this ribosomal RNA (532 nucleotides) under uncultured bacterium. RNAcentral's name for it is "bacterial SSU rRNA". It matches the Rfam family "Bacterial small subunit ribosomal RNA", at positions 775 to 1302 of the family's 1533-position model. The record is from RNAcentral.